AUCUUGUUCAUGAAAAUACAGAGAAAAUAGGAAAGAAAAUGAAGGAGAAGGAGUGCAAAAAUGAAGAAAAUAAGAAUAAUUCAAAAGGAAUUAUUAUCAUAUUGGGUGUUUAUAUUCAUUGUCAAGGAUGUAAACAACAAGUGCUUAAAUCCCUUCGUGGCUUUGAUGGUGUGGAGGAAGUUGAGAUUGACGAGAAAAAUCAUAAAGUGGUGGUG
Solanum stenotomum is the source of this 215-nucleotide long non-coding RNA. RefSeq lists it as uncharacterized. NCBI's taxonomy places the organism in Eukaryota, Viridiplantae, Streptophyta, Magnoliopsida, Solanales, Solanaceae. The transcript has 3 exons. The record is from RefSeq and is a predicted model, not a curated record.